UCAUUCAAAGUGAGGAUUAGAGGGAACUGAAUCACACACAUCUGGAACAAAAGAUGGAUGGUUCAGUUUCUUCUAAUAUCUCACCUUGAAUAG
This is a microRNA precursor of Leersia perrieri, 93 nucleotides long. It matches the Rfam family "MIR2275 microRNA precursor family". NCBI's taxonomy places the organism in Eukaryota, Viridiplantae, Streptophyta, Magnoliopsida, Poales, Poaceae. The record is from Rfam.